UACGUAGGGACCAAGCGUUGUUCGGAUUUACUGGGCGUAAAGGGCGCGUAGGCGGCGUGGUAAGUCAAUUGUGAAAUCUCCGAGCUUAACUCGGAACGGUCAAUUGAUACUGCUGUGCUAGAGUGCAGAAAGGGCAAUCGGAAUUCUUGGUGUAGCGGUGAAAUGCGUAGAUAUCAAGAGGAACACCUGAGGCGAAGGCGGGUUGCUAGGCUGACACUGACGCUGAGGCGCGAAAGCUAGGGUAGCAAACGGG
This 253-nucleotide ribosomal RNA is filed under the name uncultured bacterium. RNAcentral's name for it is "partial 16S ribosomal RNA". It matches the Rfam family "Bacterial small subunit ribosomal RNA", at positions 524 to 776 of the family's 1533-position model. The record is from RNAcentral.